RNAcentral lists this ribosomal RNA (253 nucleotides) under uncultured bacterium. RNAcentral's name for it is "partial 16S ribosomal RNA". It matches the Rfam family "Bacterial small subunit ribosomal RNA", at positions 524 to 776 of the family's 1533-position model. The record is from RNAcentral.
UACGUAGGGUCCGAGCGUUGUCCGGAAUUACUGGGCGUAAAGAGCUCGUAGGUGGUUUGUCGCGUUGUUCGUGAAAACUCACAGCUCAACUGUGGGCGUGCGGGCGAUACGGGCAGACUUGAGUACUGCAGGGGAGACUGGAAUUCCUGGUGUAGCGGUGAAAUGCGCAGAUAUCGGGAGGAACACCAGUAGCGAAGGCGGUUCUCUGGGCCGGCACUGACGCUGAGGAGCGAAAGCGUGGGGAGCAAACAGG